GGUUGAAGAUACUGACACUGCCAAGUAUUAUAACUCUCAAUCAUCUAAUAUGUUUAUUUUAAUGAGUUCAUGUUUAGAACUUUAGAAUAUUUGUUAAGUUUGCUUCUUCACUUCUGCUUUUUAUGGCUUGCAUAAGCUUAUGGGCCUCACUGCUUAACUGCCAAGUGCUGACUGAGGACAUUACAGAUAACUCGUGCAGUGGCGGGUGCACUUGCACAAAUGAGGGAUCAAUUGACCCCUCUUUUUUUCUCAAAUUACUCCUAUGUGCAUAUAUAUAUUUAUUUAAAUUGACCCCUCAGAUUUAAUUAUUGAACCUUCUUUUUUAAUGACAAAUGCAUUUUUUGGUAAAUAGGAAGUCAAUUAACACUCUUUUUAUAUAUAAAAAAAUCUUAACCAUAGAAAAUUUUUUAUAUUUUGACUGUAGAAAAUGUUUUUGCAAGCCCUCUUUUUUUAGUGACAUGCAUUUUUAUAAAUGAGAAGUCAAUUGACACACUUUUUAUUGAAAAAAAAAAAAAUUUAAUCACAGUAAUUUUUUAUAUGUUGACACCAGAAUUUUUUUUUUCUGGAUCUGCCACUACUCAUGCGCUGGAUGGCAACAAAGUAUGAUAGUCUUCUGUUUAUGAAGUUGGAAGUUGCUGAAAAUUAGGCAAAAAUUUCUGUUUAGGGAUUAUCUUUGAAAUCUUUUUCAGUGUGAGAAAUCUUAACUAUGCUUUCAGUGCAUUUUAUCUAUUUUAUUAAUUAUUAACUGAUGAGGAAAAUUUCUGAAACAUGUAACUAUUUCCUAAAAAAAAAAAAAUUCAGAAAAUUGUUUUGAAAAUGAAUUAGAAUGUAUUGUGAUUUUCAAAGGAAGAAACAGCUAAAAUAAGAUAAUAAAAUUGUAAUGUAUAUUUCAGGGUCAGAAAGAAAUGAGAUUUUGUUAAUCUUGAUUUUUCUCCUAUAAUGUGUUCAGGUACAAGCCAUCUAUUUUUAUUGUUCAACUCCUUAAUAAUAUUUAUAAAACCAAAAAUUCUGCUCUCCCAUUAUAUAUUUUCCCUCUCUCUCUCUCUUCUUUUCCCCUAAUAUUCCAUGUUAAUUGAUUGUAAUAUACAAUCCAGAGUUCCAAACCAUUUAAUGUGGCUAUGACACGCCCUUUUUAAGCCCGUUUUAUAUGUCAUGUAUGUCAGGUGAUUGUUCUCUUUUUUUUUUUUUUU
This 1190-nucleotide unclassified non-coding RNA is filed under the name Hevea brasiliensis (rubber tree). The record is from RNAcentral. Lineage: Eukaryota; Viridiplantae; Streptophyta; Magnoliopsida; Malpighiales; Euphorbiaceae.